CCUACGGGUGGCAGCAGUAGGGAAUAUUGCUCAAUGGGGGAAACCCUGAAGCAGCAACGCCGCGUGGAGGAUGAAGGUUUUCGGAUGGUAAACUCCUUUUGGUAGAGAAGAGAAGGACGGUAGCUAAAGAAUAAGCACCGGCUAACGCCGUGCCAGCAGCCGCGGUAAUACGGAGGGUGCAAGCGUUACGCGGAAUCACUGGGCGUAAAGAGCGCGUAGGCGGGAUAGCAAGUCAGAUGUGAAAUCCUAUGGUUUAACCAUAGAACUGCAUUUGAAACUGUUAUUCUAGAGUAUGGGAGAGGUAGGUGGCAUUCUUGUUGUAGCGGUCCUAUCCGU
Molecule: ribosomal RNA, 336 nt
Filed under: uncultured bacterium
Lineage: Bacteria
Description: partial 16S ribosomal RNA
Rfam family: Bacterial small subunit ribosomal RNA
Source: RNAcentral